UUGGCCUCGAAUCAGGUAGGGAUACCCGCUGAACUUAAGCAUAUCAAUAAGCGGAGGAAAAGAAACCAACAGGGAUUGCCUUAGUAACUGCGAGUGAAGCGGCAAGAGCUCAAAUUUGAAAUCUGGCGCCUUUGGCGUCCGAGUUGUAAUUUGGAGAGGCAUCUUCGGGUGCGGCGCCGGCCUAAGUUCCUUGGAACAGGACGUCAUAGAGGGUGAGAAUCCCGUUCUCGGCUGGCUGUCCGCGUCCAUGUGAAGUGUCUUCGACGAGUCGAGUUGUUUGGGAAUGCAGCUCAAAAUGGGUGGUAAACUCCAUCUAAAGCUAAAUACUGGCGAGAGACCGAUAGCGCACAAGUAGAGUGAUCGAAAGAUGAAAAGCACUUUGAAAAGAGAGUUAAAAAGUACGUGAAAUUGUUGAAAGGGAAGCGCUUGAGACCAGACUCGGCGGGAGGUAUUCAUCGUCCCUUCUGGGGCGUGCACUUGCCUCUCGUCGGGCCAGCAUCGGUUGCGGCGGCGGGAUAAAGACCCGGGGAACGUGGCUGCUCUCGGGCAGUGUUAUAGCCCCGGGUGUCAUGCCGCCUGCUGCGACCGAGGACCGCGCUUCGGCUAGGAUGCUGGCACAAUGGUCUUCAGCGACCCGUCUUGAA
Molecule: ribosomal RNA, 644 nt
Filed under: Desmazierella acicola
Lineage: Eukaryota; Fungi; Ascomycota; Pezizomycetes; Pezizales; Sarcoscyphaceae
Description: eukaryotic LSU rRNA
Rfam family: Eukaryotic large subunit ribosomal RNA
Source: RNAcentral